Molecule: transfer RNA, 73 nt
Filed under: Felis catus (domestic cat)
Lineage: Eukaryota; Metazoa; Chordata; Mammalia; Carnivora; Felidae
Also listed under: 3 other names
Rfam family: tRNA
About the family: Transfer RNA (tRNA) molecules are approximately 80 nucleotides in length. Their secondary structure includes four short double-helical elements and three loops (D, anti-codon, and T loops).
Source: Rfam by way of RNAcentral
GCCUGGCUGGCUCAGUCGGUAGAGCAUGUGACUCUUGAUCUCGGGGCUGUGAGUCCGAGCCCCAUGCUGGGUG